AGCGAACGCUGGCGGCAGGCUUAACACAUGCAAGUCGAACGGGCACCUUCGGGUGUCAGUGGCAGACGGGUGAGUAACACGUGGGAACGUGCCCUUCGGUUCGGAACAACUCAGGGAAACUUGAGCUAAUACCGGAUACGCCCUUACGGGAAAGGUUACUGCCGAAGGAUCGGCCCGCGUCUGAUUAGCUAGUUGGUGAGGUAAUGGCUCACCAAGGCGACGAUCAGUAGCUGGUCGAGAGGAUGAUCAGCCACACUGGGACUGAGACACGGCCCAGACUCCUACGGGAGGCAGCAGUGGGGAAUAUUGGACAAUGGGCGAAAGCCUGAUCCAGCCAUGCCGCGUGAGUGAUGAAGGCCUUAGGUUGUAAAGCUCUUUCGACGGGGACGAUAAUGACGGUACCCGUAGAAGAACGCCCCGGCUAACUUCGUGCCAGCCGCCGCCGUAAG
This 449-nucleotide ribosomal RNA is filed under the name uncultured bacterium. RNAcentral describes it as "bacterial SSU rRNA". It matches the Rfam family "Bacterial small subunit ribosomal RNA", at positions 29 to 524 of the family's 1533-position model. The record is from RNAcentral.